This 465-nucleotide ribosomal RNA is filed under the name Magallana bilineata (tropical oyster). Its description in RNAcentral is "partial large subunit ribosomal RNA". It matches the Rfam family "Bacterial large subunit ribosomal RNA", at positions 1857 to 2601 of the family's 2925-position model. Lineage: Eukaryota; Metazoa; Mollusca; Bivalvia; Ostreida; Ostreidae. The record is from RNAcentral.
ACCUGCCCAGUGCGAAAUAUUAAUGUAAACGGCCGCCCUAGCGUGAGGGUGCUAAGGUAGCGAAAUUCCUUGCCUUUUGAUUGUAGGCCUGCAUGAAUGGUUUAACGAGGGUUUAGCUGUCUCUAAAUUUUUAAUUGAAAUUGUAUUGAAGGUGAAGAUACCUUCAUUUAAAAGUUAGACAAAAAGACCCCGUGCAACUUUGAAAAUUAACUUUAUUCAGGGGUAAAAGAUUUUUAGGUGGGGCGCCUAGAAAGUAAGCCUAACCUUUCUGAGUAAGAGUUUCUUUCAGGAGUUGACCCGAUUAUAUUCGAUCAUAGGAGAAGUUACGCCGGGGAUAACAGGCUAAUCCUUUAGUAGAGCUCGUAUUGGCUAAAGGGAUUGGCACCUCGAUGUUGAAUCAGGGAUGAUAGCUUCAAGGCGUAGAGGCUUUGAGAGUAGGUCUGUUCGACCUUUAAUACCCUACGA